AUUCGGCCACUGAAUCAGGCCAAAUCUCCUCCGAAUUGAAUCAGCACCUGAAGCUUCGCACAGCCCUAAUGAACAGUUGUUCACCGAGCUCUUGAUGUACUCCCCUGAGGUAGCAAUAAGCAACCACCAAGUCCCCUCUUAGCCUUCUCUUCUUUAGGCUGAAGAGGCCCAAGUCCCUCAGCCUAUCCUCGUUUGGCUGGCCUUGCAAGUCUCUGAUAUAUGGGUGGCUCUUCUCUGGACCCUCUCAAGUUUUUCCACAUCCUUGUUGAAGUGUGGUGCCCAGAACUGAACACAGUAUUCUAGCUGUGGUCUCACUGGUGCUGAGUACAGUGGAAGAAUCGCUUCCUUGGUUUUACAUAAGAUGCAUUCGUUGAUACAUGCCAGAGUGUUGAUACACAUUUUCAGCUAAUACACUAAUAUUUUAAUGUGUUUAAUAGUAGCUCAGUAUUAAUUACCUAUCUAAACAGUUGUCUGAUUCCUCCCUAGUUUGAGAUGCUUUGUGCAGCUGUGAUGGUGACAGGCAGUUGUGGCACAUCAUUCCCUAAGGCAGCAAUGGCCAACCUUCAACACGUGCUGCAAGCAGCACAGGGAGCCUCUGUGCAUGACAUGCAGCAGAUUGGGUGGGAGCAGAAAGCAGAGCAGCAGACUAGGUAGGAGAAGGAGACUUGAGUAGCACUCAGGAUAGGCAUAGGGCUUAGUUUGUAAGAUGUCUGCUAAAAUGGUUGGACCACACAGCCCUAAGGGACUUCCAGUGUAAGCAAAACGCACACAAACUUGCAUGCAGCUGUGUCUUAAAGACAAGUGUUCUGGUGAAUGGGUUGUACCACUGAAGUGACCUGAAUCCCAGCUAUCCUAAUAAUACUUUAAUGUGUGGCGCUGUUAAAGUGCUCCUUGCAUGGUAAUGGCUUAUGCCUCGUCAAUUUUGUUGCUACAGCAUUUUAGAAAUAAUGAAGGUAAGUAAAUACUUAGCGCUGCAAGAGGACAUAAUUUAGUUACAGAUCUCACUAUGAAUCUGUGGCAGUCAGGAUUAGAAUGCAGUUCUCCCAACUCACGUUUUCAGCAGGAGCAUUGGCACACCCCAGUCAAAAUCCCCAACCUUGGCCACAGCUCACACCCAGUGGCUCUGAGGAAGUGGAACCCUGAGGUGUGUAGCUGCUGGAAGGGGAAAAAAAUCCUUUCCAGCCCAUAUGACUACCAGCAAAGCCCAGAAGCAUGCAAAAUACCUAUAGUAUAGCAUAGACUGAGCUACUCUUAAAUCAUCCCUGACCAAUUCUUAUCCAAACACUUCUUGAAUACCUUCAGUGAUAGAGAGUCCACAAAUUACCAGAUCAGUCUAUUCCACUGCCUUUCUGUUCUAAUAGUGAAAAAGUUUUUACUGAUACCCAGCCUAAACCCAUUUUCCUACAACUUCAAGCCAUUGGUCUGUGCCCUGGUCUGCAGCAGGAGAGAAAAGGAAUUCUCCCUCUUCUUUGUGGCAGCCCUUCAGAUAUUUGAAGGUUGCCAUCGUGUCCCCUCUUAAGCACCUUUUGUGCAAGUUGAACAUGGCUGUCUCUCUACCUCUCUUCAUGGCUUGUUUUUCAAAUCUUUUAUCACUUUUUUUUGCUUUCCUCUGCUUCUCACUUCUCUGGCAUCUCCAUGUCCUUUCUAGAAUGUGGAUUUGCUUCAUACACAUCUCUAGGAGAAGCCUAACCAGUGUCAAGUAAAGAGGCAAUGUCACUUUGCCUGUCUUGUACCUAAUGCUCCUAUUGAUGCAACCCAAAACCACAUCUGCCUUUUGUGCAGCUGUGUCACAGUAGAUGCGUGUUGAGUCUGAUCCACCAAGACUCCUAGCUCCCUCAUAGUGCUGCCGUCCAGCCAGUGGUCACCCACUUUGUGUUUUUGAUUAUUCUUCCUGAAGUAUACCACUUUGCAUUUGUCUUCCUGAGGUGUAGCACCUUGCAUAAGAACUUAAUUUAAAGCUCUCCUUCCUAGGUUGUUCUUUCAAAGAUGGUCUUUACAGGUCUGGCCAGAUGGAUCGUGUCACUUGAUAGCAGGCCUUCACCCCAGAACAUCUGCCUGUUUUUCAAAGAAUUCAAGCCCUUCACAUUUAUGCCACCAUCUCAGCCACAUGUUUACUUCCAUGAUACGGUGGUCCCUGCCUGGGCCCUUAGCUUCCACUUGGAGAAUUGCUAAGAGCAACAGUUGUGCUCCAAGCUCCUUAAUCCUCCUGCCAAGAGCCUCAUAGUCACCUCUGAUUUGCUCAGUGUAAUUUCUGGCAGUAUCAUUGGUCCCUGCAUAGGCAAGAAGGAAAAGGUAAUGGUCUGAGGGAUAAAUGAGCUUAGGCAAUUUUUCUGCAAUAUCCUAAAUAUGGGCUCAAGGCAGACACUGCACCUCCUGAAACCCCAAAUCCAGAUAACAAAUUGGUGCCUCUAUUACCCACAGAAGGGAGUCUCCAACCACUACUACUACUCCUCUUCCUUUUUGGUAUAGUCGUCUUAGAGCCACAAUCCCUGGGGCCCUGAAUUUCCUGCUGUACCGCUGGGUCCUCUGGGUCCCACUGCUGAUGUCCUCACCUCUGCCUUUUUCCCACCUGUUCUACUGCAGGGUGCUUGAAAGCAGUUGCUGACUUAAAUCUGCAUCUCUUGAAUUCUGGGGACCCUUCUAGUAGUGAUAUGUUGCCACUUCUCUUUUCCCCUUGGUCUCUUCUGUGUGCUUCUUAUGACUUCUAUCCAAGAAGUCUUCAUUUUCCCUGAUAGCAUGAAGUGUAUAGAUCCCUGAGGUUUCAACCCUUCAGUCUUUUCCUCCAAGGUGGACAUCAGCUUACACUUGGUACAGAUUAAAUGAUCUUGACCCUCUGGGAGGAACAUGAAUGUGACACGUCCCAUGCAAGUAACUACAGCUAAUCCAGUUUCUAUUUAUGCCUCCUAUCCUUCCUGGAGGAUACCUAGGCUAUAGGAAACAAAGCAAAGUGGGGGGAAGAAAAAAAACACACCCACCCAUGUGUGCAUGCAUGUGUUGCUUGCUCUCUGUCUGGCAGUCUCUCUCUCUCUCUCUCUCAGCCACCUAUUCCCUGGCUCCCUCCUGUGACAAAUUCCGAGACAAACUCCCUCUCUGCACUUCUCCUCUGGCUUUAUAGAUAUCAGUGGUAUCGUUUUUCCACCUUAAUGUUGCUAGCUUGACUGAGAGCUCUUUCAAGUCAUGUUCACGAGCAUACUAGAGGUAGGCAAAGCUAAAUGGAAAUGUAUGAGAUAUGGCCCACAGAGUCCUGUCAUCUGGCCAAUGCAGCUAACAGUGGGGCAAGUAGGGACAAUGUUAAUUGCUGCUGUUGCCACUUGUCUUUCCACCACAUUUUCAACCUGUACACAGCUCCAUGGGCUGAAUGACAUGCCUCUGCACUCCAGAUUAAGCCCACAGACCAGCCCUGCACCACUUCUCUGGCCCACAGGCUGAAAGGAGUCAUGCUAUAUGAGAGAUUGCUUUGAAAUCUUCCUUAAUCUUACAUGGGCUAGAAGCAUGAAUGGCCUGAUCUGAAUCCAAGCUAAAUGUGGUAGGACCUAGAAUCUGGCAAGCCUAUUCUUGCAGCUGCUGCUACCUUAUAGUACAUCUCUUUGAGGGGACAGGGGCACAGCCUUUUUGGUGUCUUGGGCUGGCUCAGGUCACCCAGCUGCCUGUCAGUGAAUAUAGCCAAAUCCUAUUUAAGCUUCACAUACCUAAAUUGCACAUAAGUUGUAUGAGGGGAGGUUACCUUUGGCACUACUGUAUAGUUUGGGGUUCUGUUUUGCCCUGUAAUAGCAUAGGACCACCCUGCAGCUCUGUCUUCAUGGCUAAGUUCUUUAAUCACCAGGCCAUGUACUAAGCAUUGCCUUGAGAGUCCUCCAGCCCCCCCUUUAAAGAUAGCCCACUGUGCUGUCCAGUUUCUGGAUAAUACAUUAAAGAAUAAUGGAAAGUCUUUGCCCCAUUAGGAGCAGGGGCCUAGGCUAAACUGUAGGGCCCUAUCCUUUCCUGGACAAGAGCCAUAGCACUGAAACAUGUCCCCCCCCGCCCAGCUCUCUCCUAUCCCCCUGUUUUGGUGCCCUGUGGGCUAGUGUCAAGAUAGGCUCAUGAAGGGGAAAUAGAAGCAGGUCCCUUGUCAUUCAGGCUACGGAGCGAAAGGCAGUUGGACGUGGUGCUGAGCCUCACUAUCAGGCAGGGAUUAAGCAGCUACAGAAAGAUGGUAUCUUUUACUUCCACAAGCUCAAGAGGCCACUUGGCUUAGGUGGACUUUUUAAGGGACUUAAGCAUAUUAGUUUCUGUUGAUCUGCAACUGCUAGCUGUUGCAUAGAGUAAAUGUGUUUGCACUUCUGCAGAAUUAUGAGUACAGUGCCCAGCCUGCUUGUCACUGAUACUAAGUUGGCACCAAAACCAGCCCCUUCCAGGUGUUUGGAUGAACUUUCAGGCCUCAAAUACCCUUAGGUUGCCAGAGGGGCUUUAAUGCUGCCGGAGGAGGCAGAAGGCAAGAGGUGGAUGCAGCUGCCACUUCUCAUUGCCAAAUUUCUGACCUUAAGGCAGCUCCGUGGGCUGGAUGACAUGCAUGGCUCUGCACUCUGGAUCUAGGCUAUUGACCAACCCCACACUACACAUCUUGCCCCUGGGGCUGGAUGAGUUUGACACCCUGAUCUAGCCAGUGGAGAUAUAGCAGCAUAGCCUUCAGUUCAGGUUGGGUCCUGGGCAUGUAGUCCAGGGGAUAAAAAGACAGCACCUGAAGAGGAGGGGAAUAGACUGAACUUGGUUCUCUGAGAUGGGAUAUUUUGGAUAAAAAGCUAGACUCGCUAAAGCUCUAAGGUAAGAUGAAUAUUAUUUAGACUUUUUGUGUUAAAAAACAUUUUCUUUGUUCAGCUUUGUUUCUGCUGUUGAGAGUAAACUGUUCUCUGUUUUGGAAAAGCUGUUUAGGUCUCCAUAUUGAGCAUGGGUCCCUGUUCCUGAAGUGAAGCCUCCAUAAGAUCCAAACCCAUUCAGACCUGCUGAGCAUUCACAGCUGGUUCACCAUCGCUCCAGCUCAGGUCUGCGACGUCAGGGAUCCACGCCUGCUGCAACAGUGAGUAUUUCUGCUCCUCUGAGCCCAUUAUGGUGAGAAGCCUCUCAGCAUCUGGCUUCUGCCAAUUUCCCCUUCUGGGGCAAGUGACUUCACUGUGUUGCUCACAUUCCCUUGGGGACCAUUUUUCCAGUCCUCCCUGGGUGUUGCUCCGGGUUGCUUUUGAACCAGUGAACACAGGCCAGGUGCCGAAUCGCUGCCGACACACAUUUACAAAGCAUGCCCAGACUGGCACUGGAAGUCCGCCCCGGUCUGCUACCAUGCUCAGCAUCAGCCGUUCCACUCGUCAGUCCCGUGCUGCAGGUAAGUUACCUCUCAUGGCAGUGUCCCUGCCACAAUGGUCUUGGGGCAGUUUUGUUUCUAUGGGAGGAUGACAGAAAUCAACCCUUGAGAAGAGGCUGGCCAGGGAAAAGGGGGCAAUGGACCAAUUCUUAUCAUUGGCUUUACAUUUUCACAAUCUAAAUGAAGUAGGAGCUUUGCAAUAAUUCUAAGCAGGAAAUGGGCAGGUUUGGCUGGAAAAAUAAGAUAAAAACCAGAAGCAGGCAGAGACCCAAACAGCAGCACCAGAAAGAAAAACAAACAGCAGGAAAUUAGAGGCAGGGAGGCUAACCACAGCAUAUGCAGAGCAAGGGGAGGAGGAAGCAAGUGACAAACCUGCCGGGGUGGAUUUCCAGCUGCAAAACACAAUGUUGGAGCCACCGCUCCCCCCCUCAUCUCCCUUCCCAUUUCCCAUCAGUUGUUUGUUGAUCCCCUUGGUCACGGCUUCUCUUCUAAUUCAAUUACAAGCUCUUUGGGGCAGGGACUGUCAUAUUCUGUGUGCUCAGACUUGUAUAAAUGCAGUCGGGUCCCAUGGUCUCAGCACAGUGCCAUUGAAGAAAAACAGUGAAGAAGGUCUCUGCAUAGGUAACCCCUCUGCUAGGAGUGCACUUACGAUGCAUUGCCACUCCCCCUGGGAAUGGCACCCAUGGGUGCUACUCAUGGGAGAUGCAAGCAGUGCCCAGAAGUACCGUAGGAAGGUUGGGGCAGAUGGGUGAAGCUGACAGCAUGUGGGAAACAUUCCUUUGGUGACUGGCUCAGGCUGCAUGGAUUUGAAUGUUUGAUCUCUAGUGCAAAAUGGGCUGGACCUGGGAAACUGGAAGACAGCCAACUAGGAGUUACCACUGCUGAGUUGUUCUAGCAAGGUGGGACAAUGGGGGCCAAGAUGUUAUUUCUUAGUGACCCAAUAGCCUCCAAAAGGAUGGACAAUGGAAACCUCUUAGCAGGGGACCACCUCUGGGCUGAUUUUUCUGGGCCAGAGACCCAAACCAUCUCAAGCGGAAGAUUUCUGAGGAGAGGAGGCAGGAGGGAGCUGGCUUCCCUCAUGGAUGCUGACCAAAACCCAGCGGACUCUCUGGGCUGAUGAGGCCUGAGGGAGGAAUCACAUUUAACUCUUGUUUUUCCACAGUUCUGUAACCAUUGUCCUCUUUUCUCUUAAAAAGCACGUGCAACCAAGCAACUAACAAGUAGUCCUCAGAUUUACGACAGAAUUGGUUCCUGAAAAACGCAUCUCAAGUCAAAACGUUGUAACUCGGAACCAAUUUUCCCAUAGGAAACAAUGUUAUAAAUGGGGGAUUGGUUCCUGAACCAAGGCCUGAUGCCCUGUUUUCACCAAAAAUAACCCAGAGUUUUAUACUCAAUCAAUUAUAGAUGAGUAAUGUAGCUGCAUUAAUGUAUUUAUAUUGUAAAUAGCAAUCAUAUUGAUUUGGAAGGACUUCAAGGUGACUUUGCUGGACUUUUUGAAGGGCUCUUGGUUGGACUUUUUGAAGGGUUCUUGGCUUCAGGUUUUUCUGGAGUCUUGUCUGCUUUCUUAAAGAAAGUGUCCAGGAAAGUUUGGGCAGAUGUUCUCCAGGGAGACGGGCGACGCAACAAACUUGUUUGCUGGUGUGGCAUGGGUCAGAUCAAGCAUCGUAAAGUUGAAACUGAUGUCAGAAAGUUGAAAGAGGGUGUCAAUUUAUAAGUUGUAAGUGCAAACCGUUGUAACUCGAAACCUUGUAAGUCGAGGACUGCCUGUACUUGCAAAGCUGGGGUUCUAUUGGUCACAGGUCUCCAAAGAGCUGCACUGUAAUCCAGGGUGGUCCUGGGUGUGGGCUUGGAGGAAGCCCUGAGAAGUUCAGUACUGGCUGCAGGGCCAUGGAGAGCUGGACUGUGGGGGUCCCACAUGCCAAAGAUGGUGUCAGAUAGAGAUGGAAACAUGCCCAAUAGGCCUGGACCAGAGGCAGUGUGUGCAGUUUAGACCAAGCUGGCUCAAAAGCCCUUGGAAUCCAAAGCCUGGGCUCAAUGGAGCAGACAACUUCUCAUGCCAUUUCCAGUGGAAGGGACAGUGUAAAGGGAUGGGAUGGGCUCACCUGGCUUGCCAUCUGGUUGGGACACUGGACUUAAAACUCUGCGUUGAGGUUAGAACCAUCAAAGAUGCAUUCAUGAGUGGACGGGGAAGGGGAUCACCCAGCCUGCAGCAGGUUCUGGGCUGAGUGCUGCACAAUAGAGCAGAGACUUCUGGGUGGGAACGGCCUUGAUGAUGGUCGGAGAUUACUGUUAUCACUCACUGCACGAAGCACAAGAGAGAGGCAGAGCUGCUAGCAGAGUUCUCAGGUAGGGGAAACCCGAGAUCCUUUUAACAGACAGGGUCACCCACUGACCUCUCCACUCCCAGGGAGCUUAGCCUUCCCCAUGCACAAAACUAAUCAAGGUCUUGAUUGGCUGCCCUGAAUGGGGAGUCACCCUGCAGAGGACACUGGGUGCAAUAUUCCAGACCAGACAGCAGGGUUGGGGAACCCACAGGAGCAAAGUACAGCUCCUAGUACAGACUCCUGGGUGGGGGGAAGCACUACGUUUUCCUUUGUUCUGUCCCCUAUUGCCUCGGCACAACACAGCAGUUGCCCUACCACCCAAAGGGCAGCCCGUUGCCCCACGACCUUCCAUCCUCAGAGUACUUCCUGCCACCUGCUCCAAGGCUCAACCCCAGUCCCCACUGGGCAGGUGCAGAAUGGUGGGCAGAGCACUUCUGACAGUACAAGUCAGAAGCAAAGAGGAAAGUCUGGAAAACGCCUUUAUUUGGAAAUCAAUUUUCAUGCCUGGUCUUCCUUGGGUAGCCCUCCAACACACCCCACACACGCAUGAAACAAGCCCAGCACCAUAUGGGGGGGCUCAUACCUGUCCCUGUAGAACUCCCCACCCAUAACAACUUGCACUCAAUGCACAGGAAUUACCUAUAUCCUACACACCAACUGCUGCAGCUUCCUUAGCCUGACGAAGGGUUUUUGAACCCGAAAGCUUGCUUAAUAACUAUUCUCCAACCAUUUGGGUUGGUCUAAUAAAAGAUAUCAAAUUCA
Alligator mississippiensis (American alligator) is the source of this 8418-nucleotide long non-coding RNA. RefSeq lists it as uncharacterized. The transcript is spliced from 2 exons. The record is from RefSeq and is a predicted model, not a curated record. Lineage: Eukaryota; Metazoa; Chordata; Crocodylia; Alligatoridae.